UGAAUUUAAUGUCUUAUAACUGGGGUUUUUUUGUCUCUUUUUUUGUGUGUAAUCUCUAUAAAACUCCUGUGUAAACUCCCUGUUACAUGAAAGUGCCAAACUCAGAUGGGGCUGAGCUGCUGCUUCAAGAAUGGACUUGCUGUUCUGAAACCAGCUGAAUUGCCAGGACUGCUGUGAACAACAGGCACUUUGGGAGUAACAGAGACCCAUUACAAGCCUGACCAUUUGUUUUACCCAGUUUUAUCCCCCUCUCUCUGUAGAUCAGCAAUCCUUUCAAGACAAUGCCGCAAUAGCACAAUGAGAUCAUAGUUUGUAUGACAUAAUUGGGAAAAAUCUAAAAAUUACGAACUUAAUUCUGCCACCUGCCACCAGCAUCGUUGCAUUAAUUAACCAUUUAUCGCAAAGCUGCAGGGCCAAGUCCUUUCUUUUCUAAGUAAGCAUGAAUAGAUCUGCAGUCUUAAAUGGUUUUUUCUUUACAGAUAAUGUUGCUCCAAGAACUAAUGUCCACAGGGAUGAUUCCAGCCCAGGGGACAGAAGAGGGAGAACAGCUCAGCAAACCAGAGACAGCUUGAUACUGUAUAGUGGGAGGAAAAAAAAGAACACACCACUCUGUCUGUUUUGGCUUCCUACCUGUUCAUUCUGCUCAUAAUAUCCAUUUGAAAAGCACCCCAGUCAUGCCUCUGCUGAUUUGGAUGCUGGUUUGCUGUGUGUUGUAUCAGGAAGUCUCAGCACUGCUGUCAUCUGAUCUGUGCUUCCUGGCUUUUCACCGUCUCAGAAAGCAUUCCCUGGACAAAGUGCUUUCUGGAACAAGCCUCCUGUGCCUCGUGGGAUAAAGAUCAGCAGCAGCAGCCCAGAUAUGGUUGAAAUGAAUGAGAGUUCAGCUCCAUACAACAGAGCAGGAAUUUCAGCUGAAUUCCUCCCAGUACCACUGCUUUUCAUAUGCUAAAAUGAAUAGAUUGGAUUCAAACAGGAGAGCUGGGCUGAGUGACUAACCCUGGCUCUGCACCCACACGCUGAUGUCAGGAGAGCAGCCAGCAGCUCCGUGACUCUCCUCGUCUCUGUGCGCGCGUCAGCCACAACAGUGGCAAACCCAACAAUGGGCAAGGAAGCAAUCAAAGGAAAACCCAACUUCAGACUAGGAGCAACUGAUGUAAAAUGGGAUGUGUAACUCUCAUUUCCAGUGAAAGGAAUCAUCAAUAUUAGCUCAGUCGUUUUAAAACAAAUGAAUCAUUAGAUGACAAAACCCAUAAAUUGAUUCAUAAACAGCUGUCAUCUUAAUAUAAAAACUCUGAGAUUAAUCUGAAAAAUUGCAAUUCAAUUGUGAAUGGAAAUAACAGCUAAAAUCCAGCGUUCAUCUUGGCCGGGAUGAAUUUUACAGAAUAAACUUCAGAGUACACUUCUGAGUUCUGUCCAUCCUUGCGUGUAUAAUAUGUGUGAGCAAACAGAUGCACUAAAAAUGCUGUCUGGCCACCUGGAUUUCGGUUAAUUCAUUAGUAUCAUUAAUUGCAAUGACUUUGACUUGCUGGUCUUUGAGGGGAAGGCUUCUCUCAUUGUUUGCUUGCAGAGUUUUUUGUUGUUUUUCCAAGGUACUUGUUGGCUGUGGUGCAAUGACUCAAGACGUGCGAUUAGUCAGAAUGAGCCCUCAAUACUUAUGGCAAUAAAGUUUGGCACAUAUAUUUUUGUCUUUUUCCCUGCAGUGAAGCACUCCUAGAUGAGGCAUGGGUUUGGGAUUGGUUGCACUUGCUGAGGUAAUCGAUGCCAUGAUGCCUUCUUUGAAGAAGACUGCAGAGGUUUGUAAUUUGAGUUUUGUGAUAGGCAGGUGAUGGACAGUCUGAUGGGACUCAGGGAGACCUGCCACCCUGCCAGGGAGCAAAAUGGGGAGCUCGGAACUACUGUGAGAUGGGGAAGUCCUAGGGGAAAGGAAAAUGAAGGAGCCUAUGGAAAAAAUAAGCUAUAGGGUUAUGAGGAUUGGCUGAGGAAGGAGAACAUGGGCUUUGAAUUUCAAGAAAGGAGGCAGAGAUUAAGAAACAGUGGGGAAAGGAAACACAGCUUUGGAGCACAUGGCUAGGAGCCAUAGUGAGAUACAAAGGAAAAGCAGUACAGAGGACAGAGCUUGGCAUGAGGAGCUGGGGAAAGAUUUAGAAACAGGCCAGGAACCUGUGCCUGACAGCAGGGGAAGGGAAAAGAACAGGGUGGGGACAAAGGAUGAGGAGAGGAGACGAGACAAGCUGGGGGUGGAGGGUGGGGCAGCCAAGAGAAAGGAAGAUGAGUCUGUGCCUAUUUCAGUGUCCUCCUGGUUCUCACUCCUGGGUCUGGCAUUACACAGUGUUUCCCUUCAUCUGCUGUCAGAAGACACUGACAUCCCCUGAUAAGGUGCACACAUUGACUCCCACACAGCAGACAACCUGCCACAGGGGACAGCCUUUGACUGUUUGGGACACAGAGUCACUGUGGCCUGUGGCACAGCCAGUGGGCCCAGCUUUAUCUCCAGUGUCAGCUGACAGCCCCCACAGGGGAUGGCAGGGAAUUUGUGAGUGUUAGAUCAACAACGUGAACUGCCCACAAAGGUUUCAGAGCAAACAUUCAGACUUGUAAUGACAUCAGUAACUCUUGCCUUUCACUCUCAAGUCCCUGCUGCUUGGAGUUUGCACCUUCAGAAUUCUUUUUAAGGUACAGCUGGUUUUCCCCUAGAAAAGUCUUCCCAAAUACCAUGUGAAGUAUGCAAUGGGUGGAAUUCAUGGCAGUAUGAGUUCAGCAGUUAAACAAGGCAGAGGUCAGUAGCUGGCCACAUUAAUGUCAGAGUGAACUUCCUCUUUAGCAUUUGCUGGGGGAGCUUGGAGCAGGUAAUGCAGCUUUUAGAGAGAGAAUCAAUCAAGACUGCAGUUGAUAAAAGUAAUUAAGGUGUAACAAUGUGGCUUAUGCAGGCAUUCAUUCUCUAUUUUUUCCUGAGGAGGAAAAGGAUAUAAAUUAAAUAGUGAUUCUUAUGUAAUGAAUAUUGCUUUUGCAUAAAAGGAGGCAAAACACUGAGCAAUUUAACCUCCCAGAUGCUUGGAAGUUAAUAAUUGCAGGUCAGCUUUGAGAUAAUAGCCUGGGCAGUGUUGUGAAAGUCAUUUUCUGGCAGAUGGGGACAGAUUCCAUUUUGGCAUGUGGACAGUGGAUUACAGUCCUUUAACCACCACGAAGAGCUGUGCUAAGCUCUGGUCCCUCCAAAAAACAAGCAAGAUUUCACAAGAGCCAGCUGGCUUCAGUUGCACUUACAGUACUUGUAACUUCAUAUAUCGUGGGAGAUGCAGUCAUGGUGAACUUAAAGACAUAUAGGGAUGGUUUCCUAGCUGAGAAAGGGGGGGAUUGCAGAACGUGUCUGUCCCAAGCUGGUCACUGCAUGGAUGGAUGCAUUGGGGUGUGGUGGAGCUAUAACUGCAUCCACCCCGGCACUGAACACUGCCUCAGGCUCAUUUGGGAGAGUUCUCCCUCCCUAGAAAUAAAAGCUAACGCAGCACAAGGGACCACAUAAUUUCUUUGCACUUCCAAGGGCAUUCCAGGGCUUGCUUUCCUUUCUCAGAUGCUGCUGUGCCGAUACCCUGUACAGGGAGCUGUCUGUGCAAGGGCUUCACGUGUUCACUUGUGCCACUGGAACUCUCUCUGUGUUCUGCAUGUGAUGCUUGGUCUGUGACCUGCUGCUGCAGGGUGUUAUGCUCUGGGGAACCCUUCAGUGGGGCCUAGGUUUGAGGAUCCAUGGAAACAGUCCUGAAACAAAAAGAAAACAAAUGGGAGAGUUAUGACAUUCCUUCUGGAAUACUAUCAGCACAGAUUGUUUCUGAGAGAGGGCUUUGGGGUUGUUUCUUUAUUCUUUAUUUAUUGGUUGUUUUCCACCUGCCAGCUAAUACAUCCUACAGAAAUGACGCAGAGCAAGAUUUUGGUUGUUGAGUGGUAGAAAUUAAAUUCAUGAUGUAGUAAAAUAUUUUUUUUUCCUUGUAAUGUCCGGCUGAUCUCAUCUCUACUUGCCCUUCAGUGUGACAUGAUGAAAGCUGCAUGAUGUGGUAACUGUUGUUCCCUGGGAAUAGUCUGUCUUUGCUGUAUUCCUCCAUGAGGUUACUUUGGAUUUUUACUAUAAUAUACAAGGGAAUGGAAAGAGUAUUUUCCUCACUUCCACCUAUAUUUCUAUUUCCAGCUGCAGUCCUGUGAAUAAUGUAACAUUCUCCAGAAUUAACCCAUGUGGAAGUUAUGCAUUCUAUGACUUGUAUAAGAUUCUAAUUUAAAAGAGGAUAAAGAUAAAUCUAUAACAAAACUUUCAUUAUUUUAUGAUCACUUGCUAGGAGAGACAGUUAAAGAGACAUUUUUGACUUGCUAGGGGUUUGUAGUUGAUGUGGAAAUAUUUAGAGUUAAAAUUAUUGCAGGCAGACUUGUUGCAAGCAGCCCUCCCUGCUUGAGCAGGGGUUGGACCAGAUGUGCAGAGGUGCUUUCCAACCUUAACUAUUCUGUGUUUAUGUGAAGAUCCACUUCCUAAUGAUUUGUGUGUGCUCUGAUCAAAGGGGAUAAUGGGUUUCUGAAAUGACAACAACCACACAGGCAGGCACUGGCUCUAUCUGCCCCACAAACACUGAUUUUCCCCCAAACACAGGGAAAACACUCCCUCUAAGCUCUGAAUACGUGUUCGAGCACUUCCAGUGCAAAAGCAGUUGCUUUACCCUGUAGCAAUACAACAAAAUGUGUCUUGAGUCCUGAGCAGGAGCCAAACUUCUUUGGGACACUUUUUGAUACCCUUCCAGUGACAUGGGAUCAGGAGAGAGAAAUAACUAAAUUAUGAUCUUACGGUUACAAUCCAAUGCUAUGAGAAAGAGAUGUGAUUUUAUGAUUGUUCCCGUUAAGGAAUCUCUCAACAAAUCUGGAUUUCUUUGAAAUCCAAUAUUAACUGAAAUUGUUUGAGUUCAUGGUGUUUGAUUGCAGAGUAUUUUUGAAUUUUUUAAGAUUUUAUUUUUAAUGUAUAUCAUCAGUCUUUAUACUGAUGUUGUUUCUUUUCUUACCCUGGAGUAAUUUUGCUAAUUUAGAUGUAUUGCUCUAUGUGAUGUUGAUAGAGAGAGAGGGGGUGUGUAUACAUGUGUUUGUAUGUACAUUAGAGAGAAGGAGAGGGGUGAUUUUGCUAAUUCUAAACUCUAACCUCCAUAAAUAUUUGUACUUAAGACAUUAUUUCUCAUUUCUCAUCAGCUGAGGUCACUACUCCAUCUCUUAGACUUGCAACAGCUGCCAGUCCUUCUAGACAGUUCAGAUCUUUUUCCAAGUUCAAUUAUUCUAGACUACAGAAAAUUUGAUUUACUUCCAAUUUGGACCUCACUGGAUUGUUUGUUCUCUUAUUUUCAGCCAUGCAGGGCUGUUGUGUUUCCAACAUUUGUAAAUACAACCCAAAACAAAGUUUUGCCCAUCUGUGGCAUUCUCAGAUUAAGCAUAUAUUGAGAAAAUUUUAUUUAGAAAGACAUAAACAAGUCCACUGGUGCUUUAGAGGAAUAAAGUAUCCUUUGAACUGGAAUGGAGACUGUAAGAGGUUUGUAAUAGGGAGGAGAUUAUUUUUUCUAUUGUUGAUGUAAUGUGUUUCUACUAUUUGCACCAGAAAAAGAAAAAAUGAGGAGGGAAGAAAUAAGGUUUUGUUUACAAGAAAUAUUGAUGAAGGGUCUUAAAGUCUUCAGGAAGGUAAAUGAAAAGCUGAACUUCUGUUACAGGUGUUUUUAAAAAAGUCACCAUGCAAGAAGAUUUUCCCAGGCACUUAUCCAUAUGUACUUCACGCAGAGUAACUUUACCUCAAAACUGCAUCUACAAAAGUAGGUGAGCAAAAACUGAAGCUGCUUUCUACAGUAACCAAUAUUUAGAAGGGAAAUUCAGUUAUAGCCAGAUUUGUGGCUGUUUCCAUCAUACAAGGCAGGAAUCUUCCUCCCAAAUUUAAACGCAAGCGGUUAAAGUACUUCAAGUUUUUUACAUUUCCUGUGACAAAUGAGUGUGAGAAUUUGUGGGAGACCUUUGGUGUCAACAUGUGCUGGAGAAAGGAGAUGGACGAUUUUUUCCACUAUUAGCUGAGCACUAGACAACACAGGAACAGCUUCAGAAGGGACACAGCUUAUCCAUCUCUUUUUGGCUAAUUGCUUCUUGGAUAUGCACCAAAGAGAGGGAUUGGGAAGCCAAGAGCCCCAGGGAGUGGGGAAUCUCUGUGUGGAGCGGAGGCCUGGGCUGAUGUUCCAUUUCCAGCAGCUGGAAGCGUUCCCUGCUGCCACAGUGACACAAACCACCCGCUGAGGUGUCCACAUGGUGGGAAGAUGAAUGAGCCUGAGUAUUCCUGGGUAUCUUUGCUUUCCUGUAGUUCUGAUUGCUUUUCAAAAGUGAGGGUUUUUUUCUGUUUGUUUGAUUUUAAUUCUAUAGUAAGUGCUUUUCAAACACUAGUUUCAUUAUUCCAGUGUGAGCAAACUGGGGAUGUCAUCCUCAUAAACUAUCAAGGACAUAUGGCUGAAACCCCUUGAAAAGCAGCUUCUGUGAGAAGGGAUUGACAUUUCUUGGGCUCGUCAUAUGCAAGGCUGGAAAGCUGGGAAAGUUGUUGCCCCUUGGAUCAAAAUCCAAAAACUGAUAGAUGGACCUGAUGGAAUUUUUUACUCUUCAUUUAAAAUAUCACAAAAAAUACUCUUGGAUUUUUCAGGGUUGUCCUGUAACCAUACUAACAAUAUAAUUUAGGUUUGAAUUGUGUUUACUUUGGAAUUUUUCCCCAGAUUCUCAGUUCUUGCUGAGAGUCUCUAGAAGUUUAAGAAUUAUAUAUUGAAUAAAUGAGAUGAUUGGAUGAGCA
This is a non-coding RNA of Taeniopygia guttata (zebra finch), 6820 nucleotides long. Lineage: Eukaryota; Metazoa; Chordata; Aves; Passeriformes; Estrildidae. The record is from RefSeq and is a predicted model, not a curated record.